This 253-nucleotide ribosomal RNA is filed under the name uncultured bacterium. Its description in RNAcentral is "partial 16S ribosomal RNA". It matches the Rfam family "Bacterial small subunit ribosomal RNA", at positions 524 to 776 of the family's 1533-position model. The record is from RNAcentral.
UACAGAGGGGGCAAGCGUUAUUCGGAAUUAUUGGGCGUAAAGGGCGCGUAGGCGGCUUGGCAAGUGGAAGGUGAAAUCCCUCGGCUUAACCGAGGAACUGCCCUCCAAACUGCUUUGCUUGAGGCCGGGAGAGGUGAGUGGAAUUCCCAGUGUAGCGGUGAAAUGCGUAGAUAUUGGGAGGAACACCAGUGGCGAAGGCGGCUCACUGGCCCGUAACUGACGCUGAGGUGCGAAAGCGUGGGGAGCAAACAGG